This 236-nucleotide ribosomal RNA is filed under the name uncultured bacterium. RNAcentral describes it as "partial 16S ribosomal RNA". It matches the Rfam family "Bacterial small subunit ribosomal RNA", at positions 83 to 334 of the family's 1533-position model. The record is from RNAcentral.
UCUUCGGAUCUAGUGGCGGACGGGUGAGUAACACGUUGGUACCUACCCCGAAGUGGGGAAUAACUGCCCGAAAGGGUGGCUAAUACCGCAUAAUACCGCAAGGUUAAAGCAUUUAUGCGCUUCGGGAGGGGCCUGCGUCCCAUUAGCUUGUUGGUAGUGUAAUGGACUACCAAGGCGACGAUGGGUAGCUGGAUCGAGAGGUUGACCAGCCACACUGGGACUGAGAUACGGCCCAG